UUAAGCGACUAAGCGUACACGGUGGAUGCCCUGGCAGUCAGAGGCGAUGAAGGACGUGCUAAUCUGCGAUAAGCGUCGGUAAGGUGAUAUGAACCGUUAUAACCGGCGAUUUCCGAAUGGGGAAACCCAGUGUGAUUCGUCACACUAUCAUUAACUGAAUCCAUAGGUUAAUGAGGCGAACCGGGGGAACUGAAACAUCUAAGUACCCCGAGGAAAAGAAAUCAACCGAGAUUCCCCCAGUAGCGGCGAGCGAACGGGGAGCAGCCCAGAGCCUGAAUCAGUGUGUGUGUUAGUGGAAGCGUCUGGAAAGGCGCGCGAUACAGGGUGACAGCCCCGUACACAAAAAUGCACAUACUGUGAGCUCGAUGAGUAGGGCGGGACACGUGGUAUCCUGUCUGAAUAUGGGGGGACCAUCCUCCAAGGCUAAAUACUCCUGACUGACCGAUAGUGAACCAGUACCGUGAGGGAAAGGCGAAAAGAACCCCGGCGAGGGGAGUGAAAAAGAACCUGAAACCGUGUACGUACAAGCAGUGGGAGCACAGAGCAAUCUGUGUGACUGCGUACCUUUUGUAUAAUGGGUCAGCGACUUAUAUUCUGUAGCAAGGUUAACCGAAUAGGGGAGCCGAAGGGAAACCGAGUCUUAACUGGGCGUUAAGUUGCAGGGUAUAGACCCGAAACCCGGUGAUCUAGCCAUGGGCAGGUUGAAGGUUGGGUAACACUAACUGGAGGACCGAACCGACUAAUGUUGAAAAAUUAGCGGAUGACUUGUGGCUGGGGGUGAAAGGCCAAUCAAACCGGGAGAUAGCUGGUUCUCCCCGAAAGCUAUUUAGGUAGCGCCUCGUGAAUUCAUCUCCGGGGGUAGAGCACUGUUUCGGCAAGGGGGUCAUCCCGACUUACCAACCCGAUGCAAACUGCGAAUACCGGAGAAUGUUAUCACGGGAGACACACGGCGGGUGCUAACGUCCGUCGUGAAGAGGGAAACAACCCAGACCGCCAGCUAAGGUCCCAAAGUCAUGGUUAAGUGGGAAACGAUGUGGGAAGGCCCAGACAGCCAGGAUGUUGGCUUAGAAGCAGCCAUCAUUUAAAGAAAGCGUAAUAGCUCACUGGUCGAGUCGGCCUGCGCGGAAGAUGUAACGGGGCUAAACCAUGCACCGAAGCUGCGGCAGCGACGCUGAUGCGUUGUUGGGUAGGGGAGCGUUCUGUAAGCCUGUGAAGGUGUGCUGUGAGGCAUGCUGGAGGUAUCAGAAGUGCGAAUGCUGACAUAAGUAACGAUAAAGCGGGUGAAAAGCCCGCUCGCCGGAAGACCAAGGGUUCCUGUCCAACGUUAAUCGGGGCAGGGUGAGUCGACCCCUAAGGCGAGGCCGAAAGGCGUAGUCGAUGGGAAACAGGUUAAUAUUCCUGUACUUGGUGUUACUGCGAAGGGGGGACGGAGAAGGCUAUGUUGGCCGGGCGACGGUUGUCCCGGUUUAAGCGUGUAGGCUGGUUUUCCAGGCAAAUCCGGAAAAUCAAGGCUGAGGCGUGAUGACGAGGCACUACGGUGCUGAAGCAACAAAUGCCCUGCUUCCAGGAAAAGCCUCUAAGCAUCAGGUAACAUCAAAUCGUACCCCAAACCGACACAGGUGGUCAGGUAGAGAAUACCAAGGCGCUUGAGAGAACUCGGGUGAAGGAACUAGGCAAAAUGGUGCCGUAACUUCGGGAGAAGGCACGCUGAUAUGUAGGUGAAGUCCCUCGCGGAUGGAGCUGAAAUCAGUCGAAGAUACCAGCUGGCUGCAACUGUUUAUUAAAAACACAGCACUGUGCAAACACGAAAGUGGACGUAUACGGUGUGACGCCUGCCCGGUGCCGGAAGGUUAAUUGAUGGGGUUAGCGCAAGCGAAGCUCUUGAUCGAAGCCCCGGUAAACGGCGGCCGUAACUAUAACGGUCCUAAGGUAGCGAAAUUCCUUGUCGGGUAAGUUCCGACCUGCACGAAUGGCGUAAUGAUGGCCAGGCUGUCUCCACCCGAGACUCAGUGAAAUUGAACUCGCUGUGAAGAUGCAGUGUACCCGCGGCAAGACGGAAAGACCCCGUGAACCUUUACUAUAGCUUGACACUGAACAUUGAGCCUUGAUGUGUAGGAUAGGUGGGAGGCUUUGAAGUGUGGACGCCAGUCUGCAUGGAGCCGACCUUGAAAUACCACCCUUUAAUGUUUGAUGUUCUAACGUUGACCCGUAAUCCGGGUUGCGGACAGUGUCUGGUGGGUAGUUUGACUGGGGCGGUCUCCUCCUAAAGAGUAACGGAGGAGCACGAAGGUUGGCUAAUCCUGGUCGGACAUCAGGAGGUUAGUGCAAUGGCAUAAGCCAGCUUGACUGCGAGCGUGACGGCGCGAGCAGGUGCGAAAGCAGGUCAUAGUGAUCCGGUGGUUCUGAAUGGAAGGGCCAUCGCUCAACGGAUAAAAGGUACUCCGGGGAUAACAGGCUGAUACCGCCCAAGAGUUCAUAUCGACGGCGGUGUUUGGCACCUCGAUGUCGGCUCAUCACAUCCUGGGGCUGAAGUAGGUCCCAAGGGUAUGGCUGUUCGCCAUUUAAAGUGGUACGCGAGCUGGGUUUAGAACGUCGUGAGACAGUUCGGUCCCUAUCUGCCGUGGGCGCUGGAGAACUGAGGGGGGCUGCUCCUAGUACGAGAGGACCGGAGUGGACGCAUCACUGGUGUUCGGGUUGUCAUGCCAAUGGCACUGCCCGGUAGCUAAAUGCGGAAGAGAUAAGUGCUGAAAGCAUCUAAGCACGAAACUUGCCCCGAGAUGAGUUCUCCCUGACCCUUUAAGGGUCCUGAAGGAACGUUGAAGACGACGACGUUGAUAGGCCGGGUGUGUAAGCGCAGCGAUGCGUUGAGCUAACCGGUACUAAUGAACCGUGAGGCUUAACCUU
Molecule: ribosomal RNA, 2904 nt
Filed under: Escherichia coli
Lineage: Bacteria; Pseudomonadati; Pseudomonadota; Gammaproteobacteria; Enterobacterales; Enterobacteriaceae
Description: bacterial LSU rRNA
Rfam family: Bacterial large subunit ribosomal RNA
Source: RNAcentral